CUUAGAGUUUGAUCCUGGCUCAGGAUGAACGCUAGCUACAGGCUUAACACAUGCAAGUCGAGGGGCAGCAUGGUCUUAGCUUGCUAAGGCCGAUGGCGACCGGCGCACGGGUGAGUAACACGUAUCCAACCUGCCGUCUACUCUUGGACAGCCUUCUGAAAGGAAGAUUAAUACAAGAAGGCAUCAUGAGUCCGCAUGUUCACAUGAUUAAAGGUAUUCCGGUAGACGAUGGGGAUGCGUUCCAUUAGGUAGUAGGCGGGGUAACGGCCCACCUAGCCAACGAUGGAUAGGGGUUCUGAGAGGAAGGUCCCCCACAUUGGAACUGAGACACGGUCCAAACUCCUACGGGAGGCAGCAGUGAGGAAUAUUGGUCAAUGGACGAGAGUCUGAACCAGCCAAGUAGCGUGAAGGAUGAGGGUCCUACGGAUUGUAAACUUCUUUUAUAAGGGAAUAAACCCUCCCACGUGUGGGAGCUUGUAUGUACCUUAUGAAUAAGCAUCGGCUAACUCCGUGCCAGCAGCCGCGGUAAUACGGAGGAUGCGAGCGUUAUCCGGAUUUAUUGGGUUUAAAGGGAGCGUAGAUGGAUGUUUAAGUCAGUUGUGAAAGUUUGCGGCUCAACCGUAAAAUUGCAGUUGAUACUGGAUAUCUUGAGUGCAGUUGAGGCAGGCGGAAUUCGUGGUGUAGCGGUGAAAUGCUUAGAUAUCACGAAGAACUCCGAUUGCGAAGGCAGCCUGCUAAGCUGCAACUGACAUUGAGGCUCGAAAGUGUGGGUAUCAAACAGGAUUAGAUACCCUGGUAGUCCACACGGUAAACGAUGAAUACUCGCUGUUUGCGAUAUACAGCAAGCGGCCAAGCGAAAGCGUUAAGUAUUCCACCUGGGGAGUACGCCGGCAACGGUGAAACUCAAAGGAAUUGA
This 916-nucleotide ribosomal RNA is filed under the name uncultured bacterium. RNAcentral's name for it is "bacterial SSU rRNA". It matches the Rfam family "Bacterial small subunit ribosomal RNA", at positions 1 to 913 of the family's 1533-position model. The record is from RNAcentral.